This 303-nucleotide ribosomal RNA is filed under the name Globonautes macropus. RNAcentral's name for it is "partial 16S ribosomal RNA". Lineage: Eukaryota; Metazoa; Arthropoda; Malacostraca; Decapoda; Deckeniidae. The record is from RNAcentral.
UUUUUAAUUAGAAUCUUGUAUGAAUGGUUAGAUAAAAGAAUCACUGUCUUUGUGUUUUAUAUUGAAUUUAACUUUUAAGUGAAAAGGCUUAAAUAAUUUAAGAAGACGAUAAGACCCUAUAAAACUUUACAUAGGUUUAAAUUUUGUUGAAUUUAUUAUAAUAAUUUAGUUUAUUAGUGUGUUUUAUUGGGGUGAUAAAAGUAAAAUGAUUAAUAACUGUUAUAAUAUUUAAACAUUUAUUAGUGGUUAUUAGUUGAUCCUUAUUUUAAGAUUAAUAGAGUAAGUUACUUUAGGGAUAACAGA